UACGAAGGGGGCUAGCGUUGCUCGGAAUCACUGGGCGUAAAGCGCACGUAGGCGGAUCUUUAAGUCAGGGGUGAAAUCCCAAGGCUCAACCUUGGAACUGCCUUUGAUACUGGGGGAUCUCGAGUCCGGAAGAGGUUGGUGGAACUCCGAGUGUAGAGGUGAAAUUCGUAGAUAUUCGGAAGAACACCAGUGGCGAAGGCGGCCAACUGGUCCGGCACUGACGCUGAGGUGCGAAAGCGUGGGGAGCAAACAGG
Molecule: ribosomal RNA, 254 nt
Filed under: uncultured bacterium
Lineage: Bacteria
Description: partial 16S ribosomal RNA
Rfam family: Bacterial small subunit ribosomal RNA
Source: RNAcentral